Humulus lupulus (European hop) is the source of this 627-nucleotide long non-coding RNA. RefSeq lists it as uncharacterized. The record is from RefSeq and is a predicted model, not a curated record. The transcript has 3 exons. Lineage: Eukaryota; Viridiplantae; Streptophyta; Magnoliopsida; Rosales; Cannabaceae.
ACUGGAAUGAAAAAGGGCAACCAGUUGGUACUAACUCAGUGCAAUUUUCUUCUUUUGUGGGCGCUCUUGUGCGAGAGGUUGUUCCUUACACUAUUUCAGAUUGGAGGAAAGUUUCACCAAUGAUGAGAGAUGUUCUUUGGGCAUCUAUUCAGGCACAAUAUGACUUACAUGAUGAUUGGCAAAAAAAGAUGUGCUUUGAAAUGAUGGCAGAACUAUGGAGAGCUGGGAAAUCUAGACUUGUAAAGGAUAUUAUCAAUGCAAAAAAUGAGAGUGAACGACUAGCCUUAAAGCCGCAUUGCAUAAAAAGUGAUGUAGAAUGGAGAGCAUUUGUUGCCAAAAAAAAUUAGUAAAGAACAUUUGGAUAUAAGGGCCAAAUACCAAGAGAGAAGAAAGAAAGUUGUUCCACACACCUUAAGUCGAAGAGGAUAUGCUCGAACAAUUGAUGAUAUGGUAAUAAUUAAGUUUUAUACUGUUUGUAUUUUUGCUUCCAUUAUUGUAGUCUCUAUUUUAUAAUCUCUAUUGAUGUAUUGUGUAGAAGAAAGAAAAUGAGGAUGGUAAAAUAUCUAGAAUCGAUGCUUUUCGGAGAGCCCAUACCAAGAAGAAUGGUGAACCUGUAAACCCAACGAC